AUACGUAGGUGGCAAGCGUUGUCCGGAUUUACUGGGUGUAAAGGGCGUGUAGGCGGAGAUGCAAGUCAGGAGUGAAAUCUAGGGGCUCAACCCCUAAACUGCUUUUGAAACUGUAUCCCUUGAGUAUCGGAGAGGCAGGCGGAAUUCCUAGUGUAGCGGUGAAUGCGUAGAUAUUAGGGGGAACACCAGUGGCGAAGGCGGCCUGCUGGACGACAAGUGAAGCUGAGGCGCGAAAGCGUGGGGAGCAAACAAGAUUAGAUUCCCUGGUAGUCCACGCUGUAAACGAUGAAUACUAGGUGUGGGGGGACUGACCCCCUCCGUGCCGCAGUUAACACAAUAAGUAUUCCACCUGGGGAGUACGAUCGCAAGAUUGAAACUCAAAUGAAUUGACGGGG
Molecule: ribosomal RNA, 395 nt
Filed under: uncultured bacterium
Lineage: Bacteria
Description: partial 16S ribosomal RNA
Rfam family: Bacterial small subunit ribosomal RNA
Source: RNAcentral